This is a long non-coding RNA of Gavialis gangeticus (Gharial), 1249 nucleotides long. RefSeq lists it as uncharacterized. The record is from RefSeq and is a predicted model, not a curated record. NCBI's taxonomy places the organism in Eukaryota, Metazoa, Chordata, Crocodylia, Gavialidae. The transcript is spliced from 4 exons.
CCCAAGAGUUUUGAUUAUUUUUGCCUGCACACCAGCAUGGCUACAACCUGCAUCCUGGAAUAGAUGAAGGAUUUCAGUGUGAACUACAGCCAGUUGACCCAGGCUAGCUACACCCCAGGCAUUUCUUUCCCCACUACUGUCAUUCAGCUACCUCAGAGGGGGGAUGUGGCUGCUACUCAGAACUGCACAGCAGCCCACAAGGAAGAUCACACUUAGGGGAAACUGUGUUCCCAUCCGUGUGGCCAGCCCCACAACCGUUUUCACAGCACAACUGUUUAGGGCUGAAAGUGAGAGAGAAAAGAUAAAAGCCCUUGGAUGUCAAACUGAAAAUGCAAAGAAAAAUGAAGGAGGCAGACGCUGGGGUCAAGACCUAGCCAGGUCACGUACGAGCAUGAAAACUGACGCUCACGUGUGCUGUGUCACGUGGCCACGGAGGAACUCAUGCGCAGUGCAGCAGGUAUUGGAACAAAACAGUUACCUGCAGUGAGGCACACUUCCUCUCCUCACUUCCAUCCCCAGCCCGACUGCGAGAGCUGGUGGGCAGAGCUGGGCCCAGGGAGGACAGCAAAUCCAACCCACGCAAGGAAGCUAGGGCCCCUUUCCCUUGCACCCACCUGCAGCAGAGCCUGCUCCACUCAUACUUUGCUUUCUUUCUCUUUGCAGAGGCACAGCAACAAAGCACCACGCUUUACGCUCAAGUCGGCUUUCAUCCUUCGGCUCCCAAGAAGCCAGAAAGGUCACAAGGGAAUGACGCUGUGAACAAUGAGAACCCCAUGACCAUCUAUGCCACUGUCCAACCCCAGAACCAGGCUGCCAUGCAGACAGACGAUGAGAAGAUGUGCAAGGGAACCACAACAUCCCCGCAUCACAAUAAGAAGCACGUGGACCAAGCCGAAGAAAUGCCCCCCGGGACACAAACCCUCCCAAUGCUGUAAUAGCUCUGCCUAGACAUGCAAGACCAUACCAGAACAAGAGAGCCUACAUACUGGGGAAAUGGAUAUGUGCAAAAAUGAACAAAGCCAGUAAUACACACCACCCUUGCACCAUGGUAUCAAGACUCAUUUGCACCUCCAUCAUUUAAUAUUUGCUAAAUGCAAGCCACAUUUCACAAGAAGCCAUCUUUAUGCCCAAAAUUCAUCUCCAACUAUAUGCCUGAUCUACCUCAAAUAAAUAGAGACAUUCAGGAAAUCCAUCCAGAACUUCACAGGAUCUGUUUUGCCUUCCUGUGACCUUUGUAUGAAAAAAAAAA